UCGGGAAUUUUGGGCAAUGGGGGAAACCCUGACCCAGCAACGCCGCGUGAAGGAUGAAGUAUUUCGGUAUAUAAACUUCGAAAGAAUAGGAAGAAUAAAUGACGGUACUAUUUAUAAGGUCCGGCUAACUACGUGCCAGCAGCCGCGGUAAUACGUAGGGACCAAGCGUUGUUCGGAUUUACUGGGCGUAAAGGGCGCGUAGGCGGCAUGACAAGUCACUUGUGAAAUCUCUGGGCUUAACCCAGAACGGCCAAGUGAUACUGUCGCGCUAGAGUGCAGAAGGGGCAAUCGGAAUUCUUGGUGUAGCGGUGAAAUGCGUAGAUAUCAAGAGGAACACCUGAGGUGAAGACGGGUUGCUGGGCUGACACUGACGCUGAGGCGCGAAAGCCAGGGGAGCAAACGGGAUUAGAUACCCAUGUAGUCCCUGAGCGGGCUGGCAAGGCGCAU
RNAcentral lists this ribosomal RNA (447 nucleotides) under uncultured bacterium. Its description in RNAcentral is "bacterial SSU rRNA". It matches the Rfam family "Bacterial small subunit ribosomal RNA", at positions 355 to 825 of the family's 1533-position model. The record is from RNAcentral.